GACCAAAAAGAAGCAUUUUCUAGUUUACAGACAAUAACUUGUGUUUAAGUGAAUGGAUCUCUCUGAAAUUAUACUACAAGGUUUCUUACUACAAAGGAAAGGCUGGAAUUGAGUUUUGGGGUUCUUGCUCCAAGGGGGGUUUCAAUAAGUGAGGGGCCAAAAAAGGGGCCCAAAUCAGCAUUUUUGUAGUUUUCAGUCAAAAA
This 203-nucleotide long non-coding RNA is filed under the name Mytilus galloprovincialis (Mediterranean mussel). Lineage: Eukaryota; Metazoa; Mollusca; Bivalvia; Mytilida; Mytilidae. The record is from RNAcentral.